Non-coding RNA from Delphinapterus leucas (beluga whale), 1621 nucleotides. Lineage: Eukaryota; Metazoa; Chordata; Mammalia; Artiodactyla; Monodontidae. The record is from RefSeq and is a predicted model, not a curated record.
AGCCUUGCUUCCCCCCUGCACACAGGGUCAAUCAGAUUCCUGAGGGGAAUUCAGACACUUGAGUCUAAGAGUGAUCCAGGAGCCCAAGGCCCUCUCUGGUUCUGAGAGGUUGGCCGGGCAAGCGCAAUUUCCAGUCAAAAUAUCAUUUGCCACCGUUACUUAGGUCAACUCCAUUCCCCCUCCAUCCACGUAAGUAAGGUUAUGACUGAUGAGUUUUGUGUGACUCACACUGGACACAAGAGGAGUUUGGGGUCUGGGCUGUUAACUGACCCUUAGGCUUGAGCUGCAUGUGUGGUCCCAUCCAGCAGCUCUUUGUUGUUUGUGUCCCCAUAGGGCAGCCUCUGUUUACAGUACACAAAGGUGGCAGGGGUCUGGCAGGCAUCCUUUAUUCAAUGUGCUCCCUGAUGCUGGCACCCAGGGUGGUCACUCCAAUUCCUCCACAAUCUCCACAUAAAGCCUCCUAUAGUCUUUAGGGGUGGAUAUAUUUAUCUCUUCCAAGGGCUUUGGAGAUCAUUCCUCCAUAAUGCCCCUGGACCCUGCCAGUCAACAUCCUCUCUUGCCUUCAUCACCGUGGUUACAUUGUGCUCCCCUGGGUUGGUCUUGAGCCCUGCCAAACACCCCUUGCAAGGAUAGGGUCACUCUUCUUGCUUCACCCCAGGUCUCUCACCCAUCCUCCCAGUUGAUGGUUGUGUGUGGAAGCCAGGAGUGCAGUUAACAUUGAAAGAGAUCACAUUCUAAAAAUGCAGUGAUUAUGAUCUAAGAGUUCAGGAAAAGACAUGGUUGGAAGAUGUGUUGAUCUAUAUGUAUGCUAAGAAAGUUGUAAUGGUAAGUUUAAGAUAACCAGAGACUUGCAUUUGUGGUUAUCGUCAGUGAAGCACAAUAAUAACAUUUAAGAGAGUCAUUGGAAGCCAGAAUUCAUGGUGAUAUGCUGGAUGCUAAAUCAUCAUGAAUAACGAUGUAACCAGAUUAAAGAAAUGAAUUGAGAACUAUAGUGGCAAGAGGAUUUAUUUGUUUCAAUGCAAAUAAGCUCCAAGGAGCCAUCACAUCAUGAGAAAUAACAACAUUCUUACCUUUUUUGUUGAGAUGGUAGAUGUAAAAUUAGCCAGGAAGGAGAUGCCUUUGACAAUACAGAAGAUAGUACCAAAACAGAGGUGGUACCUGGACCUGAACAGGAAGAUAUGGUGCCAGGACAUUAGGAAGAAUCUUCAUGUUCACUGAGCAGACAAUGAGGAAGUAUAUAUUGUUUCUUGCCAGAGGGGACCACGAAUUAGAAGUCCAUGCAUCUCCCUUGGCACUAAGCAUAACCUGAUAUAUAAUGGAUAUUCAAUAAAAAUUACAUGAAUAAAUUGACAUGCUAUGGGGUGUAAAUAUUCUAAACUACAAAUUACAGAAUCCUGACUUACAGCAAUUUCCUGGGCUUCCAAAAUACUAGAUAUAUGCUGAAGGAUCGGCUCUUCUAUGUUCAGAACGACGUUCAGAACCGUCUUGGACAAGAGAGCUGGCCUCCCUAACUUUGUGAUGGGGUGAACGAAAGACACAUUGCUUGAGGUAAAACUGAUUCAGUGCAAGAACGAUUAUGAGGUAUUGAGGAUGGGAAUGGAGAUGUGCUCUGACCCAUUUU